This 687-nucleotide small RNA is filed under the name Xanthomonas translucens. Its description in RNAcentral is "bacterial LSU rRNA". The stretch from base 240 to 687 matches the Rfam family "Bacterial large subunit ribosomal RNA", at positions 1 to 502 of the family's 2925-position model. The record is from RNAcentral. Lineage: Bacteria; Pseudomonadati; Pseudomonadota; Gammaproteobacteria; Lysobacterales; Lysobacteraceae.
CUCCAGACCCACCACUCUGAAUGUAUAAGCACACUAAGAAUUUAAGAUGCGUCAGCACUGAGGCUGGGGUAUGUUCUUUUAAAAUUUGUGACGUAGCGAGCGUUUGAGAUCAACUAUCUCGACGUGUCGUUGUGGCUAAGGCGGGGACUUCGAGUCCCUAGAAAUUGAGUCGUUAUAGUUCGCGUCCGGGCGUUGUACCCCCGGACUCAGCAUAACUUGGAGGCAACUUCAGGUUAUAUGGUCAAGCGAAUAAGCGCACACGGUGGAUGCCUUGGCGGUCAGAGGCGAUGAAGGACGUGGCAGCCUGCGAAAAGUGUCGGGGAGCUGGCAACAAGCUUUGAUCCGGCAAUGUCCGAAUGGGGAAACCCACUGCUUCGGCAGUAUCCUGCAGUGAAUACAUAGCUGCUGGAAGCGAACCCGGUGAACUGAAAUAUCUAAGUAACCGGAGGAAAAGAAAUCAACCGAGAUUCCCUAAGUAGUGACGAGCGAACGGGGACUAGCCCUUAAGCUGGUAUGGUUCUAGAAAAACAACCUGGAAAGGUUGGCCAUAGAAGGUGAUAGCCCUGUAUUUAAAAGGGCCAUUCCAGUGAAGACGAGUAGGGCGGGGCACGUGAAACCCUGUCUGAAUAUGGGGGGACCAUCCUCCAAGGCUAAAUACUCCUGACCGACCGAUAGUGAACCAGUACC